RNAcentral lists this unclassified non-coding RNA (246 nucleotides) under Linnemannia longigemmata. RNAcentral describes it as "Mortierella longigemmata partial internal transcribed spacer 2". The record is from RNAcentral. Lineage: Eukaryota; Fungi; Mortierellomycota; Mortierellomycetes; Mortierellales; Mortierellaceae.
AACACCUCAAAGCCUUUUUUUUGUUAAAAAGGAUUUGGACUUGAGCAAUCCCAACAUUUUUUAAGUAAAGUGGCGGGUUGCUUGAAAUUCAGGUGCAGCUGGACAUUCUCCUGAGCUAAAAGCAUAUUCAUUUAGUCCCGUCAAACGGAUUAUUACUUUUGCUGCAGCUAAUAUAAAGGGAGUUUGACCAUUUUGGCUGACUGAUGCAGGAUUUUCACAAGAGUACUUCAAAACCACUCUUGUUAA